Molecule: long non-coding RNA, 2330 nt
Filed under: Homo sapiens (human)
Lineage: Eukaryota; Metazoa; Chordata; Mammalia; Primates; Hominidae
Description: HSALNT0166047
Source: RNAcentral
CCACAGCAGUUUAGUCUUCAUACGUUCUUCCGGAGACCAGAGAAAAUGUCUGUUCCCACAUUUCCAAAAGCACUUAGGGAGGGACGAUGCAGUCUGCCAGAAGUGGUUCUGCCUUUGGGACUGAGUCCCCUUCUGGGACAUUUUUAGAACUUCCGCCCGCCAUGUGUGAGGGCGGGUGGUGAAGUUCUGGUGGCCGGUUCUGAGGAGCUCACGUGACUCACUGCUGUGCCUUCUGUGGGUCUCCAGCUGCGCCCUUGACUUGCAUCAUUAGCUGUCCUCAUCCAAGAGGUCUGAAGAUUCAUCAGACUAGAAUUAAGAAGACUGGUCUAUUUAAAACUUGUUCGUCAAGCAACGUGCUCAUCACAAGCUUCUCUAAAUGGAUGGUACAUCAAAAGACAUUUAUUUGAACAAAUUUAUUUGGAGAAAAAUUCUCUUUGGGAAUUUGGAAAUAAUUAGAUUUAGGUGUUAGGUAUCUUGGGAAUCUUAAUUUUGGGGAUAAAAUUUUCCAUUUCUUGGAAAGAAUGUGGCUAAAAGGCACAAAUUAUUUGUGAUUUCACCCAUGGAGGAAAAAUGCAAAAUGCACUAAAUUAUCUCAAAUGUUUUCUUGGCAUGGAGACAAAAAUCUAGAUAUGUUUAAGCAUCUGGAUGACCAAGAGAACUAUUCAUCUCCGUUGCAAUUAUUCAUAUUAUUCUGUCCUUUCACCACGAUUUCUAAUCACAUCAGGAGCUCAAGGCAAAGGGACAAAAUUUGGUUAACAGACAUUUUUAUGUAAUUACGGUGGGGGUAAUGUGCCUUAGGAAGGGGAGAAGACAGAAGAGGUCUUGUCUGGGAGGUUCAGUAAUUGAGAAUGAAUGGAAUACUGAAAGCAGAUUUUUUUCCUAGAGCAAGUCAUGUCCAUAUAAACUAUGUAAGUUAUUUUCUAGCCUGCUUCUACUUUUUUAUAUACUGCCAUGACUUGCAUUUUGUGUCAGGGCACAAGAAUUUUUAAAAAUACUUGGUGUUCAAGACCUUAUUCUUGAAUUCUUACUGCUGUGCCUCGACCCUGACAUACCCUGUCUCUCUUUUUGAAACAGUUUUCUGUUUUUGUUCCUCUUUCUAAUAUUGGACUGUUGAUAUUCAGACUCCUCCUACUCCACCAUUUUUAUUUCAGUUUGGUCUCCAUACUUCCGACUUUAAAAACAUUUUUUUACCGUGGAUUUCUGCUUUUGGUUUAAUUAUUCCAUGAACAACUCUGUGAGUAAUGAUGCUUGUUUGCUUGUUUUGGUCGGGACCGAAGCCAUGUCUCACUGUGUGUUGCACACACAGGCAGUUCCAUGGGCAAGGCCUGGCCCUGAGCUGGGCCCAGGAAUGGAUUGCACAGUGGUUUUAAACCCACCACAAGCCAUUCCCAGUUUGGGUUGGCAAAAACUUGUUCCAGGAGAUGAGCUACACCCGUGGUCUGACUUUCACAUGUUAACAAUUAUUUGCAGAGGAAACUUGCCCUAAGAUGUGGUGCAAAUAAUACUAAUCUAUGUCAAUCUUGGAAAAAAUAACUCUACUUGUACACUGGACUGAAUAUAGGUCAGUUGUCGAAAUUUUGGCAUUAAGACAAUUGACAACUGAGCAUUCAGACAAUUUGAAAAUGGAGCAAAUUCCAAACUCUAAAUUAUUAUUUUCUGAGCUAAAAAGGUAAGAUGCAUAUUAAAGCACUUCCCUGAUUGAUAUAAGGAAGUGACAUUGAUUCUAGGAGAAAGAGAAGACCGUCUUCCAGAGGCACUGGAUGUGCUAAGUGCUUAGAUGUACAUGUGGUAUAACUUAGCAUUCAUGACCUUAAUUUCUACAGUUUUCUGCCAGUGACUAUCUGUCACAUGUAGUAAUUAAAAGUUUUAAAUAAUAUGCUGGAGAGAAUCACCCAGCUCUGAAGAGUCUGGGCCAUUUCCCAGUCUAGGCAGCUUAAGUACCCACGAGAAAAUAAGUUCUAUGAGGACACAAACUGAUUCUUUUUCAUGAUUUUAUCCCUGGCACCCAUCACAGUGUUUAACAUGAUAAAUACCUGCUGAAUAAAAAAGAAUUCUGAUGUUGCUGCUUAUUGCUUGCCACCAUAUAAUUCUUGUCAAGUAAUACACUCUCUGUUGUAAAAAUGACCUCGAGGUAAGGGGUAAAACUUGCUAAAAUCAAUUAACUUUUGUUGUGAAAUUGCUCAGGAAAUGCUGAAGAUUUUUCAUGAAAAUGUGGCACUGUAGGAAGUUUACAUUUUAGACUUUCUGUAUUUAGACAAUAUUUAUGACUUUGUCAUAAUUUAUUUGAGAAGUUUUCUCUGGAUGCCUCCUGUGUGUUAGGUAUUAUGCUA